This 468-nucleotide ribosomal RNA is filed under the name uncultured bacterium. RNAcentral describes it as "partial 16S ribosomal RNA". It matches the Rfam family "Bacterial small subunit ribosomal RNA", at positions 28 to 507 of the family's 1533-position model. The record is from RNAcentral.
GACGAACGCUGGCGGCGUGCUUAACACAUGCAAGUCGAACGGAAAGACCCUGCUUUUGUGGGGUGCUCGAGUGGCGAACAGGUGAGUAACACGUGAGUAACCUGCCCUUGACUUUGGGAUAACUUCAGGAAACUGGGGCUAAUACCGGAUAGGAGCUCCUGCUGCAUGGUGGGGGUUGGAAAGUUUCGGCGGUUGGGGAUGGACUCGCGGCUUAUCAGCUUGUUGGUGGGGUAGUGGCUUACCAAGGCUUUGACGGGUAGCCGGCCUGAGAGGGUGACCGGCCACAUUGGGACUGAGAUACGGCCCAGACUCCUACGGGAGGCAGCAGUGGGGAAUAUUGCACAAUGGGCGGAAGCCUGAUGCAGCAACGCCGCGUGCGGGAUGACGGCCUUCGGGUUGUAAACCGCUUUCGCCUGUGACGAAGCGUGAGUGACGGUAAUGGGUAAAGAAGCACCGGCUAACUACGUG